UACGUAGGGUGCAAGCGUUAAUCGGAAUUACUGGGCGUAAAGCGUGCGCAGGCGGUUAUGUAAGACAGGCGUGAAAUCCCCGAGCUCAACUUGGGAAUUGCGUUUGUGACUGCAUAGCUAGAGUACGGCAGAGGGGGAUGGAAUUCCGCGUGUAGCAGUGAAAUGCGUAGAUAUGCGGAGGAACACCGAUGGCGAAGGCAAUCCCCUGGGCCUGUACUGACGCUCAUGCACGAAAGCGUGGGGAGCAAACAGG
This 253-nucleotide ribosomal RNA is filed under the name uncultured bacterium. RNAcentral describes it as "partial 16S ribosomal RNA". It matches the Rfam family "Bacterial small subunit ribosomal RNA", at positions 524 to 776 of the family's 1533-position model. The record is from RNAcentral.